GAUGAACGCUGGCGGUCUGCUUAACACAUGCAAGUCGAACGGAAUCCUUCGGGAUUUAGUGGCGGACGGGUGAGUAACACGUGAGAAUCUGCACUCAGGAUGGGGACAACAGCGGGAAACUGCUGCUAAUACCCAAUGUGCCGAAAGGUGAAAGAUUUAUCGCCUGAGAAUGAGCUCGCGGCCGAUUAGUUAGUUGGUGGGGUAAAGGCCUACCAAGACGGCGAUCGGUAGCUGGUCUGAGAGGAUGAGCAGCCACACUGGGACUGAGACACGGCCCAGACUCCUACGGGAGGCAGCAGUGGGGAAUUUUCCGCAAUGGGCGCAAGCCUGACGGAGCAAGACCGCGUGGGGGAGGAAGGCUCUUGGGUUGUAAACCCCUUUUCUCAGGGAAGAACACAAUGACGGUACCUGAGGAAUCAGCCUCGGCUAACUCCGUG
Molecule: ribosomal RNA, 437 nt
Filed under: uncultured organism
Description: bacterial SSU rRNA
Rfam family: Bacterial small subunit ribosomal RNA
Source: RNAcentral